ACAACUGUAGUUUCCACUAUAGAUGCAAGAAAAAUGUCCUCGCGCUUUCUGUCUGCCUGAUUGUGGCAGCCAAGAUUGAAUAGAGGAAUACAGAG
Molecule: small nucleolar RNA, 95 nt
Organism: Microcebus murinus (gray mouse lemur)
Lineage: Eukaryota; Metazoa; Chordata; Mammalia; Primates; Cheirogaleidae
Source: Ensembl